Molecule: non-coding RNA, 968 nt
Organism: Pelobates cultripes (western spadefoot toad)
Lineage: Eukaryota; Metazoa; Chordata; Amphibia; Anura; Pelobatidae
Source: the annotation of a GenBank genome assembly
CAAAAACUGUUGAACUGUAAAUAAUGGUCAUGGUUUCUCCUCCCACUACCGCAUGAGUAAGCAUCGGGCUUCCAAAAGACGGCUACCAAAAUCAACAGAACCAAAAAUGACAUGUAUCAUGUUCCUUUUUAAUGUCUCUGUUAGUUAAUGAACCACAGCACACAUGGUUUUUCUGUGCUGUCUUUUCCACACUCACAAACCUCAGGUAACAGGAAGAUAAACUCCAAUGUGUUUAUUUACUUAAUACCGAUAGGUGAGCUGGGCAAAAUUUCCAACCCCAAAAAACGUGCAAAAUUUGGUUCCUGAGGUAAUUCUUAUGGAAAAUCUUAAAUCCACUAGUUACAUUUGCUAAGUAAAAAAAAAAUCACAAACCUAUGUAAAACAUGUGGCAAUGCUGUUUUAUUAAUAAUUCGAAAUGAAAAAUAUGAAAUAAUGUAGCUACCACCCCAUGGAAAUGCUAGUCAAGGAACACAAGAAAGAUGCCUCUAAAAAAAAUGCAUGCAUCUUUCUAUACACUUAGAAUGUACCUUUUAAAAUGAUUCAAAUGGCAUUGAGGUGGGGGGGAAUUAACAGUGACAAUAUCAAGCCAGGAAUUUUAGGACAAGUGUGGAAACACGACUUCAUGCUGAUGGAACCCAAACUUUAAGAGCUAUUCCGUCUCUGAAGAAGUGGGGCUGCCACGAAACCCGUUAGACUAAGACUAAUCAAGCAGGAUACGGAUGAAGUCUUUGAUCCAACAGUAGGAGCCUUAUCUCUACCGGAAAUUUCCCACGAUCUGGGGACCGAUUGGCCCGCAGCGUCCAUCUCUCAGAGUGAGGUCUGAGACGCACGCUAACCUCACUGGCAGCUGACAGCUAGAGAGAUUGUUUUGUUACAAACUAUCCGCAUCAAUCCUAGCCAGUCCCUGUGGAUAAUUCAGAAUACGGACUACUAUUCUGCUGAUAAUAUUCUUGCAUACCGUUCCUGGC